RNAcentral lists this ribosomal RNA (465 nucleotides) under uncultured Klebsiella sp. RNAcentral describes it as "bacterial SSU rRNA". It matches the Rfam family "Bacterial small subunit ribosomal RNA", at positions 338 to 795 of the family's 1533-position model. Lineage: Bacteria; Pseudomonadati; Pseudomonadota; Gammaproteobacteria; Enterobacterales; Enterobacteriaceae. The record is from RNAcentral.
CCUACGGGUGGCUGCAGUGGGGAAUAUUGCACAAUGGGCGCAAGCCUGGUGCAGCCAUGCCGCGUGUGUGAAGAAGGCCUUCGGGUUGUAAAGCACUUUCAGCGGGGAGGAAGGCGUUAAGGUUAAUAACCUUGGCGAUUGACGUUACCCGCAGAAGAAGCACCGGCUAACUCCGUGCCAGCAGCCGCGGUAAUACGGAGGGUGCAAGCGUUAAUCGGAAUUACUGGGCGUAAAGCGCACGCAGGCGGUCUGUCAAGUCGGAUGUGAAAUCCCCGGGCUCAACCUGGGAACUGCAUUCGAAACUGGCAGGCUAGAGUCUUGUAGAGGGGGGUAGAAUUCCAGGUGUAGCGGUGAAAUGCGUAGAGAUCUGGAGGAAUACCGGUGGCGAAGGCGGCCCCCUGGACAAAGACUGACGCUCAGGUGCGAAAGCGUGGGGAGCAAACAGGAUUAGAUACCCCAGUAGUC